This 282-nucleotide long non-coding RNA is filed under the name Junco hyemalis (dark-eyed junco). Its description in RNAcentral is "lncRNA (ENSJHYG00000012418.1)". The record is from RNAcentral. Lineage: Eukaryota; Metazoa; Chordata; Aves; Passeriformes; Passerellidae.
GACCAGAGCUUGUGGGCUGUACCCAGCCUGCGGCUGGCACUGCAGGCAGCCAGGGUGGCUGCAGAGCAUCUCUAAGUGAUUCAGGUCACUUCUGAUCCAGGACAGGGAGCCUCAGCCUGCCAGCUUUUGGGAACCUGAAAGAUGCCUCAAGUUCACAGCGCAGAGGAUAUCCUGCCUGAAGCUACUGGUAUUGCAGGGAUUGUCUCAUCUCCCUAUUCCCAGUGUGCCUGUUAUACAGUUGAAAAGGCUCCUGGAGAUGUGCAUGUUUCUUUUUCAAGAUAA